GUGCUCACUUCGGCAGCACAUAUACUAAAACUGGAAAGAUACAGAGAAGAUUGGCAUGGCCCCUGUGCAAGGAUGACAUGCAAAUUCAUGAAGCGUUCCAUAUUUUU
This 107-nucleotide small nuclear RNA is filed under the name Bos indicus x Bos taurus (hybrid cattle). Lineage: Eukaryota; Metazoa; Chordata; Mammalia; Artiodactyla; Bovidae. The record is from RNAcentral.